UAGUGUAGAGAUCAUCAUCUUCCUAUUCUCUUCUUCUUCUCUAAGAGGAUCUUAAGAGAAAUGAAGAUUCUUCAACCAUCAAGAUGCGAUCUCUGCAAGGAAGCUAGCACACCAAUGAGAUCAAAAAUUUUUGAUCAGAUCGAAGUCUCAUGUGGAUAUCCAUAAAGAUCGGACACUUGUGCGAUAUCAAAGAACUUUCGAAAG
This 204-nucleotide long non-coding RNA is filed under the name Elaeis guineensis (African oil palm). RNAcentral describes it as "long non-coding RNA (EGUI_LNC020166)". The record is from RNAcentral. Lineage: Eukaryota; Viridiplantae; Streptophyta; Magnoliopsida; Arecales; Arecaceae.